AUUGAACGCUGGCGGCAGGCCUAACACAUGCAAGUCGAGCGGAUGAAGGGAGCUUGCUCCUGGAUUCAGCGGCGGACGGGUGAGUAAUGCCUAGGAAUCUGCCUGGUAGUGGGGGAUAACGUCCGGAAACGGGCGCUAAUACCGCAUACGUCCUGAGGGAGAAAGUGGGGGAUCUUCGGACCUCACGCUAUCAGAUGAGCCUAGGUCGGAUUAGCUAGUUGGUGGGGUAAAGGCCUACCAAGGCGACGAUCCGUAACUGGUCUGAGAGGAUGAUCAGUCACACUGGAACUGAGACACGGUCCAGACUCCUACGGGAGGCAGCAGUGGGGAAUAUUGGACAAUGGGCGAAAGCCUGAUCCAGCCAUGGCGGGUGUGUGAAGAAGGUCUUCGGAUUGUAAAGCACUUUAAGUUGGGAGGAAGGGCAGUAAGUUAAUACCUUGCUGUUUUGACGUUACCAACAGAAUAAGCACCGGCUAACUUCGUG
RNAcentral lists this ribosomal RNA (484 nucleotides) under uncultured bacterium. RNAcentral's name for it is "partial 16S ribosomal RNA". It matches the Rfam family "Bacterial small subunit ribosomal RNA", at positions 30 to 507 of the family's 1533-position model. The record is from RNAcentral.